Molecule: ribosomal RNA, 486 nt
Filed under: uncultured bacterium
Lineage: Bacteria
Description: partial 16S ribosomal RNA
Rfam family: Bacterial small subunit ribosomal RNA
Source: RNAcentral
AUUGAACGCUGGCGGCAUGCCUUACACAUGCAAGUCGAACGGCAGCACGGGUGCUUGCACCUGGUGGCGAGUGGCGAACGGGUGAGUAAUACAUCGGAACAUGUCCUGUAGUGGGGGAUAGCCCGGCGAAAGCCGGAUUAAUACCGCAUACGAUCUACGGAUGAAAGCGGGGGACCUUCUGGCCUCGCGCUUUAGGGUUGGCCGAUGGCUGAUUAGCUAGUUGGUGGGGUAAAGGCCUACCAAGGCGACGAUCAGUAGCUGGUCUGAGAGGACGACCAGCCACACUGGGACUGAGACACGGCCCAGACUCCUACGGGAGGCAGCAGUGGGGAAUUUUGGACAAUGGGCGAAAGCCUGAUCCAGCAAUGCCGCGUGUGUGAAGAAGGCCUUCGGGUUGUAAAGCACUUUUGUCCGGAAAGAAAUACUUGGCCCUAAUACGGUCGGGGGAUGACGGUACCGGAAGAAUAAGCACCGGCUAACUACGUG